Cebus imitator (Panamanian white-faced capuchin) is the source of this 1399-nucleotide long non-coding RNA. RefSeq lists it as uncharacterized. The record is from RefSeq and is a predicted model, not a curated record. Lineage: Eukaryota; Metazoa; Chordata; Mammalia; Primates; Cebidae. The transcript has 4 exons.
GCCGCCGUAGGUGCUAUAAAAGGCGCGGCGCGCCCUCCCCCGACCUCUGCGCGCGCCGGCGGCUGCCAUGGCGGGUGCGCUCCUCGCCGCCUUCUCCCGGGCCCUUCCCAGCCCGCUCCUCGGCUACCGCCCUGCAGCGUCGCUCUCCCGGGCGCGGCGCGCUCUAGGGGGCUCUGCUGCCGGGUGGGCGCUCCGGGCGCGAGGCGGGGGCGGGCGCUGACCUGGGGCGUCCCGGCCGCGGGAUGCGGGACUGGGCCCCGGAGAGGCGCCGUGCUGUGUCCCUCCCCGCGCCGUUUCCAGCCAGGAAGCUUCGGGAAGCCUGGUGAGAGUCCAGUGCGCGAAUUCGGACCUAAGCGGAAAGCGGCCCGCUCGCCCGCGCCCCUUCCGCCCCUGCUGCUGCGUCCCCGAGUCGCGGAGGCUUUGGGGACGUCGCCCCGAGUGUCGGCAUCUUCGAGAAAUGGAUUUCUCGUGCUGUGUCCACGCGUCGGGUGUUUCCGUGUGACCGGCCGCCCAGCGGGAGGCCGUCGUGGCCGAAGGAGUCCGGUGACCGCCGGACCAAAGACUGUUUUACAGGACAGGUGCGCGCCUGUCCUUGGUGGGCAUCCGCCUCGUGGUCCUGGUCCCUGGACACCUGCAGGGGAUCAGCGUUCCGUGGCCAUUGUUGUGACUCAACUUCCCCUCCUAGAGAGUAAGCGGAGGGAGACAUCUGCUCACUGGAAACACGUGCGAGGGGUGCUGGGGUGUUGGGAAGGAGGUGACUUAGCCUGUGAUGGACUCCAGUGUGAGCAGUGGCCAGAGUGACGAGGCCAACUGGCCCCAGCCUGGAUCAAGGUGCAGAGGCCGGGAUGUGGGCGCAGCCCUGUGCCAGGAGGCUGGCUGGAACAGAGGUACAGGCCUCACUCCCUCUGGGACCGCUGGCACCCGGGGUGUUUGCAGCCUGAGAACCCAGCUUUCCACACGCCCACCUGCCCCCAGGGCCACAGUUGCAGCUCCUGCUCUGCUCUCAUUCCAGGGAUGGGCAGGCUGGCAUCGGGACGCCCACCGCCUCUGCCUGAGUAGUGCUGUGUGUUCCAACUGGCCAGGGGGCAGCUGCCGGGACCACCCCUCCAUUUUAGUGUCCCGAUUCUUAAGUUCUGCCAUUGUGGUAUUCUGGUGGAAAGAAAGAACCAUUUGGCUAUUUUUGAACUGCCUGGAAUCGAGGAUCCUGAGUUAUUUAUUUUUUUACUGUAUUUGAGUCAUCUUGUUUUUGUUGUUUUUUCCCCCAAGGGGGAAAAAUCGACAUGGAAAACAUUUAUUUUAAAAUACAGGAUGAAGUGAAUUAAAAGAUUUAAUGCACAUUUCCUCAAGGAUAACAUUUCUGUGUUGGCAAAAUUUGAGAAUAAAUGGGUCUGGAACGGAA